Molecule: ribosomal RNA, 1530 nt
Filed under: Salmonella enterica subsp. enterica serovar Choleraesuis
Lineage: Bacteria; Pseudomonadati; Pseudomonadota; Gammaproteobacteria; Enterobacterales; Enterobacteriaceae
Description: bacterial SSU rRNA
Rfam family: Bacterial small subunit ribosomal RNA
Source: RNAcentral
AGAGUUUGAUCAUGGCUCAGAUUGAACGCUGGCGGCAGGCCUAACACAUGCAAGUCGAACGGUAACAGGAAGCAGCUUGCUGCUUCGCUGACGAGUGGCGGACGGGUGAGUAAUGUCUGGGAAACUGCCUGAUGGAGGGGGAUAACUACUGGAAACGGUGGCUAAUACCGCAUAACGUCGCAAGACCAAAGAGGGGGACCUUCGGGCCUCUUGCCAUCAGAUGUGCCCAGAUGGGAUUAGCUUGUUGGUGAGGUAACGGCUCACCAAGGCGACGAUCCCUAGCUGGUCUGAGAGGAUGACCAGCCACACUGGAACUGAGACACGGUCCAGACUCCUACGGGAGGCAGCAGUGGGGAAUAUUGCACAAUGGGCGCAAGCCUGAUGCAGCCAUGCCGCGUGUAUGAAGAAGGCCUUCGGGUUGUAAAGUACUUUCAGCAGGGAGGAAGGUGUUGUGGUUAAUAACCGCAGCAAUUGACGUUACCCGCAGAAGAAGCACCGGCUAACUCCGUGCCAGCAGCCGCGGUAAUACGGAGGGUGCAAGCGUUAAUCGGAAUUACUGGGCGUAAAGCGCACGCAGGCGGUCUGUCAAGUCGGAUGUGAAAUCCCCGGGCUCAACCUGGGAACUGCAUUCGAAACUGGCAGGCUUGAGUCUUGUAGAGGGGGGGAGAAUUCCAGGUGUAGCGGUGAAAUGCGUAGAGAUCUGGAGGAAUACCGGUGGCGAAGGCGGCCCCCUGGACAAAGACUGACGCUCAGGUGCGAAAGCGUGGGGAGCAAACAGGAUUAGAUACCCUGGUAGUCCACGCCGUAAACGAUGUCUACUUGGAGGUUGUGCCCUUGAGGCGUGGCUUCCGGAGCUAACGCGUUAAGUAGACCGCCUGGGGAGUACGGCCGCAAGGUUAAAACUCAAAUGAAUUGACGGGGGCCCGCACAAGCGGUGGAGCAUGUGGUUUAAUUCGAUGCAACGCGAAGAACCUUACCUGGUCUUGACAUCCACGGAAGUUUUCAGAGAUGAGAAUGUGCCUUCGGGAACCGUGAGACAGGUGCUGCAUGGCUGUCGUCAGCUCGUGUUGUGAAAUGUUGGGUUAAGUCCCGCAACGAGCGCAACCCUUAUCCUUUGUUGCCAGCGAUUAGGUCGGGAACUCAAAGGAGACUGCCAGUGAUAAACUGGAGGAAGGUAGGGAUGACGUCAAGUCAUCAUGGCCCUUACGACCAGGGCUACACACGUGCUACAAUGGCGCAUACAAAGAGAAGCGACCUCGCGAGAGCAAGCGGACCUCAUAAAGUGCGUCGUAGUCCGGAUUGGAGUCUGCAACUCGACUCCAUGAAGUCGGAAUCGCUAGUAAUCGUGGAUCAGAAUGCCACGGUGAAUACGUUCCCGGGCCUUGUACACACCGCCCGUCACACCAUGGGAGUGGGUUGCAAAAGAAGUAGGUAGCUUAACCUUCGGGAGGGCGCUUACCACUUUGUGAUUCAUGACUGGGGUGAAGUCGUAACAAGGUAACCGUAGGGGAACCUGCGGUUGGAUCACCU